RNAcentral lists this ribosomal RNA (506 nucleotides) under uncultured bacterium. RNAcentral describes it as "partial 16S ribosomal RNA". It matches the Rfam family "Bacterial small subunit ribosomal RNA", at positions 29 to 523 of the family's 1533-position model. The record is from RNAcentral.
AGUGAACGCUGGCGGUAGGCCUAACACAUGCAAGUCGAACGGCAGCACAGAGGAGCUUGCUCCUUGGGUGGCGAGUGGCGGACGGGUGAGGAAUACAUCGGAAUCUACUCUGUCGUGGGGGAUAACGUAGGGAAACUUACGCUAAUACCGCAUACGACCUACGGGUGAAAGCAGGGGACCUUCGGGCCUUGCGCGAUUGAAUGAGCCGAUGUCGGAUUAGCGAGUUGGCGGGGUAAAGGCCCACCAAGGCGACGAUCCGUAGCUGGUCUGAGAGGAUGAUCAGCCACACUGGAACUGAGACACGGUCCAGACUCCUACGGGAGGCAGCAGUGGGGAAUAUUGGACAAUGGGCGCAAGCCUGAGCCAGCCAUACCGCGUGGGUGAAGAAGGCCUUCGGGUUGUAAAGCCCUUUUGUUGGGAAAGAAAUCCAGCUGGCUAAUACCCGGUUGGGAUGACGGUACCCAAAGAAUAAGCACCGGCUAACUUCGUGCCAGCAGCCGCGGUAA